RNAcentral lists this ribosomal RNA (189 nucleotides) under Klebsiella pneumoniae. Its description in RNAcentral is "partial 16S ribosomal RNA". It matches the Rfam family "Bacterial small subunit ribosomal RNA", at positions 1355 to 1533 of the family's 1533-position model. Lineage: Bacteria; Pseudomonadati; Pseudomonadota; Gammaproteobacteria; Enterobacterales; Enterobacteriaceae. RNAcentral also lists the same sequence under 1 other name. The record is from RNAcentral.
UGCUACGGUGAAUACGUUCCCGGGCCUUGUACACACCGCCCGUCACACCAUGGGAGUGGGUUGCAAAAGAAGUAGGUAGCUUAACCUUCGGGAGGGCGCUUACCACUUUGUGAUUCAUGACUGGGGUGAAGUCGUAACAAGGUAACCGUAGGGGAACCUGCGGUUGGAUCACCUCCUUACCUUAAAGAA